RNAcentral lists this ribosomal RNA (900 nucleotides) under Fusarium decemcellulare. RNAcentral's name for it is "LSU rRNA". It matches the Rfam family "Eukaryotic large subunit ribosomal RNA", at positions 38 to 966 of the family's 3401-position model. The record is from RNAcentral. Lineage: Eukaryota; Fungi; Ascomycota; Sordariomycetes; Hypocreales; Nectriaceae.
GCAUAUCAAUAAGCGGAGGAAAAGAAACCAACAGGGAUUGCCCUAGUAACGGCGAGUGAAGCGGCAACAGCUCAAAUUUGAAAUCUGGCCCUCGGGUCCGAGUUGUAAUUUGUAGAGGAUGCUUUUGGUGCGGUGCCUUCCGAGUUCCCUGGAACGGGACGCCAUAGAGGGUGAGAGCCCCGUCUGGUUGGAUGCCAAUCCUCUGUAAAGCUCCUUCGACGAGUCGAGUAGUUUGGGAAUGCUGCUCUAAAUGGGAGGUAUAUGUCUUCUAAAGCUAAAUACCGGCCAGAGACCGAUAGCGCACAAGUAGAGUGAUCGAAAGAUGAAAAGCACUUUGAAAAGAGAGUUAAAAAGUACGUGAAAUUGUUGAAAGGGAAGCGUUUAUGACCAGACUUGGGCUUGGUUAAUCAUCCAGGGUUCUCCCUGGUGCACUUUUCCAGUCCAGGCCAGCAUCAGUUUGCUUCGGGGGAUAAAGGCUUCGGGAAUGUGGCUCCUCUCGGGGAGUGUUAUAGCCCGUUGCGUAAUACCCUGGGGCGGACUGAGGUACGCGCUUCUGCAAGGAUGCUGGCGUAAUGGUCAUCAACGACCCGUCUUGAAACACGGACCAAGGAGUCGUCUUCGUAUGCGAGUGUUCGGGUGUCAAACCCCUACGCGUAAUGAAAGUGAACGCAGGUGAGAGCUUCGGCGCAUCAUCGACCGAUCCUGAUGUUCUCGGAUGGAUUUGAGUAAGAGCAUACGGGGCCGGACCCGAAAGAAGGUGAACUAUGCUUGUAUAGGGUGAAGCCAGAGGAAACUACUGGUGGAGGCUCGCAGCGGUUCUGACGUGCAAAUCGAUCGUCAAAUAUGAGCAUGGGGGCGAAAAGACUAAUCGAACCUUCUAGUAGCUGGUUUCCGCCGAAG